GCCAGAUGUGGUGGCUUGCAUCUGUAAUCCCAGCUACUCAGGAGGCUGAGGUAGGGAAAUGGCAAGUUCAAGAACAGCAUCAACACCUUAGAGACCCUGUCUCAA
RNAcentral lists this small RNA (105 nucleotides) under Marmota monax (woodchuck). The record is from RNAcentral. Lineage: Eukaryota; Metazoa; Chordata; Mammalia; Rodentia; Sciuridae.